ACGGAUAUCUCGGCUCUCGCAUCGAUGAAGAACGUAGCGAAAUGCGAUACCUGGUGUGAAUUGCAGAAUCCCGCGAACCAUCGAGUCUUUGAACGCAAGUUGCGCCCGAGGCCUUCUGGUCGAGGGCACGCCUGCCUGGGCGUCACGCCAAACACGCUCCCACC
RNAcentral lists this ribosomal RNA (164 nucleotides) under Festuca ambigua. Its description in RNAcentral is "[Vulpia] ciliata 5.8S ribosomal RNA". The stretch from base 1 to 145 matches the Rfam family "5.8S ribosomal RNA". Rfam says of the family: 5.8S ribosomal RNA (5.8S rRNA) is a component of the large subunit of the eukaryotic ribosome. It is transcribed by RNA polymerase I as part of the 45S precursor that also contains 18S and 28S rRNA. The record is from RNAcentral. Lineage: Eukaryota; Viridiplantae; Streptophyta; Magnoliopsida; Poales; Poaceae.